This 719-nucleotide long non-coding RNA is filed under the name Helianthus annuus (common sunflower). RNAcentral describes it as "sRNA HanXRQr2_Chr05g0208631". Lineage: Eukaryota; Viridiplantae; Streptophyta; Magnoliopsida; Asterales; Asteraceae. The record is from RNAcentral.
AUGGAAUCAAGUGAAUGCAUGCCGAAACUAUCAAAGAAAGAAAUAAAGCUUGCUUAUUUUCACUAAGUAGUUAUGUUUCAAGAAUAAAGAACAUUAAAACAACCUGAAACAGUCUCCAUUGCUACCGCUAUGUUUUCCUCAGUUGAACUGUGAAAAUUGCACAUUGGUGUCGAAAUCAAAUGAAUAACAAUAGCAGAGAAGCAUUCAAGAGUAUGUGGGAAUCGAAAGAUAUACUCAUCGGACAAUGGAAACAGUCAGAGAUAUUAAAAUGAGCAAUUCAACCUACAACAAAGUUGUAGGCUUCUUUUUGCGUCCUGAUGUCGAAUUCAAUUACGUUAGAUAAAACUAUUGGUCAAUUGGCUAUUGGGUUUUCUAAAUAAUCUCUUAUAAGCAUCGAAAUACAACCUAAAGUGAAAUCAAUUUUUAAACCAAUAUGUAAGUUGAUCAGCCAUAAUGAAAUAUAAGUGGGGUGAAAGGCUGAAAUUACACACUAAAUGCAUUCAAACACACAACCUUUAACAAAUAUAAGUGGGGUGAAAGGCUGAAAAACUACUUAAUUACACAAUAAAUGCAUUCAAUCACACAACCUGAGCAUUUUAUUUUUCGUACGAAAAAACCAACAUAGAACAUAAAAAAUGAUUACCUUGGGAAGCUCCACAAUGAAGAGGUAUACUGCUCUAAAAAUGUGGAAAUCAUUCUAUUAGCUACUUUAGAACCCA